This is a long non-coding RNA of Acinonyx jubatus (cheetah), 1444 nucleotides long. RefSeq lists it as uncharacterized. NCBI's taxonomy places the organism in Eukaryota, Metazoa, Chordata, Mammalia, Carnivora, Felidae. The record is from RefSeq and is a predicted model, not a curated record. The transcript has 4 exons.
UCAUUCCUGUCUCACAGAUGAGUAUACAGAGGCCCAGAGGCUGAGCAUCUCACCCCAUGACAUUGAGUGGUGGAGCCAGCAUGUGGGCCCAGAUGUAACUGAACACAGUCCCCUAUGCUAUGCUGCAAGAAAAGAGUCAGGUCAACUGGUGUCCAGCCUCAGCCCCACAGGUGGCCAGAGUAUGAAGAGGGGUUACCAGGAGUGGGAUUCCAGGGCCCCAUCUCGUUUUUAAUCACAGUGAUCAGGAUGUGGCCAUUCUCAACCUGUUGAAGAGUGCAAAAAAGUACCUACAGAAGCAGAAAAAUGCGCAAGAAGACCACAUUUUUCUCUCCACUUCCAUUCAACAGACCAGGAGGAUGCAGAAGCUGCUCCCUGCAAGGCAGACACCUUCUCCCGCACAGACUCACCUUGACCUGCGACUCGGUCAUCCCCAGUGGGGAAACUGAGGCACCAGAAGGGGAAGAGACCUCCCAAGAGACCAUCAUCUGCAGUUCUCUCUCCCUUUGUGUUAAUUCAACCACUGACUCAGAUAUUUUCCUGUGUGUGGCUGUGCACUUGGGAUUGAAGAGUAGGGAUGUGGAGAGAGAGUGUGUGGUGGGGGGAGGGGACGAUGGAAGUGUGAGGGACCGAGGCCUAAAGUAUCCCCGAAACCACUUCCAAGAGAUGAGGUCUUCGCCCGCAUGGGACUCUCCAUGUUUCAGGUUGAGUCAGCGGUGGGCGGUCAGGCAGUGUGACCGCCUGGAGAGGCAUAGCAGAUGGGGAGGCCGGUGCCCUUUGGUGGGGAGGGGGGUUCCUUGGUGGGCCCCAAGCUUCUACUGCAGUGGGGCAGCCCCGGUGUUAGAGAGAAGUGCAGGUUCCCUCCGCCUCUGCCCCUGCCUGAUCCUGGCUGGGCCUCCGUGGCCCAAAGAUGGCUCCUUCAGCCACCGUCACCCUCCCUGCCUCCCAGGUGAGCCUCACCUGCCUAUGCACGACCUGCCACCCCCUCCUGGCCCUGACUGGCAUCGCGGGGGCCCUGCACCAGUCCUCUGAAAACAGGUCUGCGGAUGGCAGGGCAAGGAGACCCCCCACAACAACUACAGCCAAGUCCAGCUUGACUCAGCGGCUGUUCCUGGAGUCUGGGCUGUUGUCGCUGCUCCUGUUGACAUAAGCCCUGCGGAGGACGGUGGGAAGCCGGCCUCCUUGAACACAGGCAAGACCAAGAUGGGGUCAGAGUGCAGCCUGUGUCCCUGAAUGGUGUCAGGGCAUGCGUGGGCUCUCUGGGAAGGUGAUGCUGCAGCAGCUUCUCACUGGGGACUGCACUUGCUUGCUUUGGAUGAAGAAGUGACAUGGGCUCCCAGUGGGAGAAGGAAGGUGAGCUACCAGCCGGACCCUGCACAGGGCAAAUGUAGGCUAUCUGGCCUUCUCCGGACCUGGAGACCCCCAGGUUCCCUAGGAGGGCGGCUGA